UCCAAUAAUAUUAGGUCUGACUCGACAGCCAAACCCAAUGCUAUUGGGUCUAGCUGGGCUUGGCUGUCUAGCCGUACCUAAUGACAUUUUUAUAUU
Non-coding RNA from Populus trichocarpa (black cottonwood), 96 nucleotides. NCBI's taxonomy places the organism in Eukaryota, Viridiplantae, Streptophyta, Magnoliopsida, Malpighiales, Salicaceae. The record is from Rfam.